Molecule: ribosomal RNA, 368 nt
Filed under: uncultured bacterium
Lineage: Bacteria
Description: bacterial SSU rRNA
Rfam family: Bacterial small subunit ribosomal RNA
Source: RNAcentral
GACGAACGCUGGCGGCGUGCUUAACACAUGCAAGUCGAGCGGUAAGGCCCUUUCGGGGGUACACGAGCGGCGAACGGGUGAGUAACACGUGGGUGACCUGCCCUCAGCUCUGGGAGUAAGCCUGGGAAACUGGGUCUAAUACUGGAUAUGACUCCACGGUGCAUGUCGUGGGGUGGAAAGCCUUGUGCGGCUGAGGAUGGGCCCGCGGCCUAUCAGCUUGUUGGUGGGGUGAGGGCCUACCAAGGCGACGACGGGUAGCCGGCCUGAGAGGGCGACCGGCCAUACUGGGACUGAGACACGGCCCAGACUCCUACGGGAGGCAGCAGUGGGGAAUCUUGCGCAAUGGGCGAAAGCCUGACGCAGCGACG